UUUCUAUUUGACCCUGGUAGAAAGUAGAAAUGUGAUUAGUAAAGCUACAUACGGAUAUUAUAUGGUUGAUUAAGUAUAAAUUAAAAAUUUUUAAUUAGUAGUAGUUAGGACUGUUAGUAUAAAGAGAUUUAAUGA
RNAcentral lists this ribosomal RNA (135 nucleotides) under Schistosoma mansoni. Its description in RNAcentral is "partial 12S ribosomal RNA". Lineage: Eukaryota; Metazoa; Platyhelminthes; Trematoda; Strigeidida; Schistosomatidae. The record is from RNAcentral.